RNAcentral lists this long non-coding RNA (384 nucleotides) under Musa acuminata (dwarf banana). RNAcentral's name for it is "long non-coding RNA (MACU_LNC006925)". The record is from RNAcentral. Lineage: Eukaryota; Viridiplantae; Streptophyta; Magnoliopsida; Zingiberales; Musaceae.
GGGAUCAGGGUUCGGAGCUCCCCCUUCCAGCUUCGCCGGCCGAUCUGCAACCUCCAGUUCCCGCUCCGCCGACCGACUCGCUACCCGGCUCGGAGGGUGCCCCGCUGGAGAUCGAGGCUGGGCGCCCUUCGAAGAAGGCGAAGAUGACUCCGCCGAAGGGGUCCGAGGCGAGCUCUCACCGCGGAGGGGCGGGCCCCAGUCGACGGAGGCCCGGGAGGGGUCUUCACCCUGUGUCUGUGCGCGACCUCUGCCGGCUUCCUGCCAGAGACGGGGUGCCGUACCUAACGCGGCUGGCGAGCGAGCUCCUGCCCGGUGAGCUCAGCGACCCCCUGGUUCCCCGCUGGGAGGGCUUGUCUCGGGGGUCUAAGAUAUGGGCCGGAGGGG